RNAcentral lists this transfer RNA (72 nucleotides) under Cyananthus lobatus. RNAcentral's name for it is "tRNA-Thr". Lineage: Eukaryota; Viridiplantae; Streptophyta; Magnoliopsida; Asterales; Campanulaceae. The record is from RNAcentral.
GCCCUCUUAACUCAGUGGUAGAAUAACACCAUGGUAAGGCGUAAGUCCUCGGUUCAAAUCGAUAAGAGGCUU